RNAcentral lists this transfer RNA (67 nucleotides) under Proechimys echinothrix. Its description in RNAcentral is "tRNA-Thr". It matches the Rfam family "tRNA". From Rfam's summary of the family: Transfer RNA (tRNA) molecules are approximately 80 nucleotides in length. Their secondary structure includes four short double-helical elements and three loops (D, anti-codon, and T loops). The record is from RNAcentral. Lineage: Eukaryota; Metazoa; Chordata; Mammalia; Rodentia; Echimyidae.
GCCUUAGUAGUAUAAAAAUUACAUUGGUCUUGUAAACCAAAAACGGAGUAUCACCCUCCCUAAGACA